UGGGGAAUAUUGCACAAUGGGCGAAAGCCUGAUGCAGCGACGCCGCGUGAGGGAUGACGGCCUUCGGGUUGUAAACCUCUUUCAGCAGGGACGAAGCGCAAGUGACGGUACCUGCAGAAGAAGCACCGGCUAACUACGUGCCAGCAGCCGCGGUAAUACGUAGGGUGCAAGCGUUGUCCGGAAUUACUGGGCGUAACGAGUUCGUAGGCGGUUUGUCGCGUCGUUUGUGAAAACCAGCAGCUCAACUGCUGGCUUGCAGGCGAUACGGGCAGACUGGAGUACUGCAGGGGAGACUGGAAUUCCUGGUGUAGCGGUGAAAUGCGCAGAUAUCAGGAGGAACACCGGUGGCGAAGGCGGGUCUCUGGGCAGUAACUGACGCUGAGGAACGAAAGCGUGGGUAGCGAACAGG
This 409-nucleotide ribosomal RNA is filed under the name bacterium. Its description in RNAcentral is "partial 16S ribosomal RNA". It matches the Rfam family "Bacterial small subunit ribosomal RNA", at positions 355 to 776 of the family's 1533-position model. The record is from RNAcentral.